GCCUGAGGAAGCCAUCUGGACAGAGGAAAUUCGCCUUAAACCUUGGCAAGAGAACUUUGUUCUGUUUGAACUUUGUUUAAAGCCCCAGAGUGGGUGAUCAUUUUGUUUAAACUUUCCUUAAAACAAAGAGUGGGAGAUCCCCCGCAAUUAACAACAGGAACCUUCUCCGCUCUUAGCAGACUUGAUAGGAAAAAAUGCAAGGACUGUUCUGACAUCCAUUAACAUGCCUCAGCUAGCAGGAUGGAAAGCAAGAUGCAAAGGAAGGACAUUUGGAAGUCUCCAGAGAGUUAAGGUUUUCUUGCCUCCACUUUCCUGAGUGUAGUGGUUGUGUUGUAGAUGUACCAAUUGGCCCCCUAAAGUCACUUGUUCUCGGCGUCUACUUCAAAAGGAAACGUCUCCGAUGAGGGAUGGUGUGAGCGCCUCGCUCUGCUGUAGCCUCCCUACCAUGAUCUUUUGCCUUGCCAUAGACUCACAGCAGAACCGAGUGACCAUGGACUGAAAACUCUGGAGCUAUAAACCAAAAUAAAUUCUUUAUUUAGGUUGGUUUUAGGUUGGUAUUCUCAAGUGAUUUGUUACAGCAAUGGAAAGUGGACAAACACAGGUAUUAAAACUGGAAAAGGACUGUUCAUCUGCUCUAGGCUUCUUCAGUUGAAGAGAAUUUACUAUUUGUCUGGCUUAGCACACAGAUGAAAGACUGCAGGGUGGAGUUCCCAGGAGAAAACACUUCUCUUUGAUAUGACUGUUCUUGUCUGAAAUAACCUCACUGAAGUACCUGUCUCAUUCCCUCUCACCCAAUG
Long non-coding RNA from Mesocricetus auratus (golden hamster), 797 nucleotides. RefSeq lists it as uncharacterized. The transcript has 3 exons. The record is from RefSeq and is a predicted model, not a curated record. NCBI's taxonomy places the organism in Eukaryota, Metazoa, Chordata, Mammalia, Rodentia, Cricetidae.